GGCUAGUCAAAUGCAGAUGUGUUCACAACUAGUUGAUCAAAACCAGUUAGAGAUUUCUUUGUUCCUUCUCUACUCCCAGUUCCUCACUUGACAAGCCUGAA
Unclassified non-coding RNA from Aotus nancymaae (Ma's night monkey), 101 nucleotides. It matches the Rfam family "Y RNA". From Rfam's summary of the family: Y RNAs are components of the Ro ribonucleoprotein particle (Ro RNP), in association with Ro60 and La proteins. The Y RNAs and Ro60 and La proteins are well conserved, but the function of the Ro RNP is not known. In humans the RNA component can be one of four small RNAs -- hY1, hY3, hY4 and hY5. Lineage: Eukaryota; Metazoa; Chordata; Mammalia; Primates; Aotidae. The record is from Ensembl.